RNAcentral lists this ribosomal RNA (484 nucleotides) under uncultured bacterium. RNAcentral's name for it is "partial 16S ribosomal RNA". It matches the Rfam family "Bacterial small subunit ribosomal RNA", at positions 30 to 507 of the family's 1533-position model. The record is from RNAcentral.
AUUGAACGCUGGCGGCAGGCCUAACACAUGCAAGUCGAGCGGAUGAAGGGAGCUUGCUCCUGGAUUCAGCGGCGGACGGGUGAGUAAUGCCUAGGAAUCUGCCUGGUAGUGGGGGAUAACGUCCGGAAACGGGCGCUAAUACCGCAUACGUCCUGAGGGAGAAAGUGGGGGAUCUUCGGACCUCACGCUAUCAGAUGAGCCUAGGUCGGAUUAGCUAGUUGGUGGGGUAAAGGCCUACCAAGGCGACGAUCCGUAACUGGUCUGAGAGGAUGAUCAGUCACACUGGAACUGAGACACGGUCCAGACUCCUACGGGAGGCAGCAGUGGGGAAUAUUGGACAAUGGGCGAAAGCCUGAUCCAGCCAUGCCGCGUGUGUGAAGAAGGUCUUCGGAUUGUAAAGCACUUUAAGUUGGGAGGAAGGGCAGUAAGUUAAUAACUUGCUGUUCUGACGUUACCAACAGAAUAAGCACCGGCUAACUUCGUG